GCGGCCGCCGCCCGCCGCCGCCUGCGCCUCCAGCUCCUUCGCCCCGGCGGGCCCGGCCGCCGCUUCCGGCAGCUCACCUGGGACGCGCUCACCUGGGACGCGCUACCUGCCUCCGGGCGCCUGGGCUUCAGGAUGAAGGACCGUCUGGAGCAGCUGAAGGCCAAGCAGCUGACACAGGAUGAUGAUACUGAUGAGGUUGAGAUUGCUAUCGACAACACGGCUUUUAUGGACGAGUUCUUUUCUGAGAUUGAGGAAACUCGGCUUAACAUUGACAAGAUCUCAGAACAUGUAGAGGAGGCUAAGAAACUCUACAGUAUCAUUCUCUCUGCACCGAUUCCAGAGCCAAAAACCAAGGAUGACCUAGAGCAGCUCACGACUGAGAUUAAGAAAAGGGCCAACAACGUCCGGAACAAACUGAAGAGUAAGAAGGGAACAAAGAAAACAAGGCCGUCCCCACCACCAUCUAUCUCAGCUCCCCUAGGGUCCAGCUUUCCGAACUGAAACUCCUCUUGAUGGAAGUGACACCACUUGGUCCAUCUUUGCUUGUGGUUUGGGCUCUGUCCCCGCAAUGAUCCAUUGUAGCCCCAGAAAUUUACCUUUUCUUAAAUCCUGACUGUACUGGAAAGAGUCCAGAAUUGAAGCUAGGAGAUGAGAAUUAAAAUGUGCUUUCAGCUG
This 675-nucleotide small RNA is filed under the name Pan troglodytes (chimpanzee). RNAcentral describes it as "retained intron". The record is from RNAcentral. Lineage: Eukaryota; Metazoa; Chordata; Mammalia; Primates; Hominidae.